CUCCCUAAGUGUAAAUGUGUGUGUGUGUGUGUGUGUGCUUGUGUUUGCUUACGUCUGUUUUGUUGGACAACAAUGAAGGCCUAGCUACUUAUUAACGUUAAAUAUGGAUCAUCAACUCUCCUCUGUGGGAUUUCAACACAUUACUAUAUUGAUCUUGGACAUUACACUGUGAAUAAAAAAUCAGGGCUCCAGAGAUAAUCCUGGGCUUGCCGUUCUGUGAGGCUAUAGACAUGUGGUCUCUGGGCUGUGUUAUAGCUGAGCUGUUCCUGGGCUGGCCCCUCUUUCCCGGUGCAUCAGAGUACGACCAGAUCCGGUACAUCUCCCAGACGCAGGGCUUGCCUGCAGAGUACCUGCUGAGUGCCGGCACCAAGACUAGCCGCUUCUUUAAGAGAGGACCUGACUCCAGCUACCCCCUCUGGAGAAUCAAGGUCAACCUCUCGUCUCACCUGGAGGGGACGGACAUGCUGGCGGAGAAAGCUGAUAGGAGGGAGUUCAUCGACCUGCUGAAGCGAAUGCUCCGAUUGGACGCUGACAAGAGGAUCACGCCCACUAAGACGCUAGGUCACCCCUUCGUCACCAUGAGUCACCUGCUGGACUUCCCUCACAGCUCCCAGUGCCGUCAGCAGGGGGAGCUGUUCCUAUCCUGAACUACCAGCCAACCCUCUACCAGCAGGCCACCAUUAACAUCCCUGGUCUGGCCCAGCAGCGCGUUCCCCUGCAGGCACGACCCAACGGCCUGCCAGACUGAGCCCUUCCAAACACCAAACAGGGCCAAACCUCUCGGAUGCUACAGACGAUUUUUGUCUCGUGCGGAUGCUGGAACCUGCGCAGGAAGUUCGACAAAGGCAGUGGAUUGAGAUGCAAAAAAAUACGUAUUUCUCUUCUUUUUAAAAAACUUUAAUUGGGAUUGUUUAUUAUGCUAAUUCGGUUUCCGUGGGGAAAUCGAGCAUAGGGGGGGUUAACAUCUUGAUAUCAACCUGAAGUGACUAAAGUGAGUAAAAACUGAAAAGUCUUAAAAAAACAACUUUCAACUUACAAACUUUGUCUGAACUGUCGCUGUGAAAUGUUUAUUUUGAUUUUUUGCAUUUAUCAAAAUCCCAUCCGGUGAUUUAUGAUGUGUGUAGCCUAAACUAUUAGGGAUAUUGUUCUUCGUGCACAGCAUGUAAACAUUUAAAUCAAAUCACCACACGAUAAAGGCAAAACAAUUCUGACACUGCCAGAAACUUUGUCGGAGCGAACUUAAUCGGCAGGCCCUGUCACACUGAACGCGCCAAGAUGUCUGGCAAUCGUUUACGACCAAAUAUUUUAUGUGUGUUCUCUGUAGCAGGCAUGGCCAGCCGGUACCCAGCAGAUCCUGAUCCCGUCGUCAUGGCAGCAGGUUCCGGGUGUGGCCAUUCACGGCUCCACCCACCAGUCGGUUGUCACGGAGUCUCCCGUGGAGACACUCCUUCCGGACACAGGCCAGCAGACACACAGCUGGAGGGGAUCUCAGUACAGCGGAAUGCUGCAGCAGAACCUGGGGGUUAAUUCGAGGAGCGGAGCACGGAAGAGGGCAAAGGGUAGUCGUGGCAACAGCAGGACCACCAGGGGUGUGUCUGGCGUAUCCCGACUCACCAACGCCGUGCUGCAGUUCUCUCUCAGCCAAUCAUCAUCUUGGACACGCCCAGCCCGGCGGUCAGCGUCAUCACCAUCCAGUCAGAUGAGGAGGACGAGAGGAAGUUCCACCCCGCCAGGUGUGUCUGGUCUCCCAAUCACAGACCACUGUAGCAGUUGGGCCUCUGCUUUAUGUGCAUCGAUAUAUAGACGUGCAACCCCAGACUUCCUACAUCAAUCCCAAGCUGGCCAAUCGGCAUCCCUGUAGCUCUGGAGACGGCAGCAACCGCCAUAGGCUAGUCCCCAGCCAAUCACAUCCUCUCAACCUCAGCCAGCCUGUGGUCUCGUCCUCUUCGUCCCAGGACUGUUCUCACGGCAACCUGCGUCGCCAGGCAACCUACCCCCCAGACCCCACCUCCCACUACACCUUCCAGGAAGUGCCCUCUCUAAGCUCUGCCCCAAGUCUAUACACUUUCCCUGCAUCCGCUGCUCUAGCCUCUGCCUCCCAGCUCCUGGUGCGUGGCCACCCCUCCACCUAUGCCCCACCCACCGUCCCUUGCGGUACCUCGGGAUUGGUCCGGAGGGAUGCAGGAACCGGGAAGGAGUCUUCUGUGGGGGUGGUGAUGGGGCUUCCCGCAGUUUAUCAGCACCAGUUUACUACUGGAUCCCUUAGUGUCACGCCACGUGCUGAGACCUACAGCGCAUACCAGCUCAGCCCUCGACGCCUGGGACCCCUACUUAUGAUGAGAGAUGAUACUGGAUGUAGAGAGGGGGUGGGCAAGGGGUGGGAGCGAUGACGAGUAGGGCUAUGGCCCUCUCAUACCGACGUAUUUGCACACACACUGAAGGGGCAAUGAGUCCCACGGCUUCACCAUGGUGAUGGAUCUGGGUGAGGUAGGGAUGGAGACAGGAAGUGGGAACAAAUUAACAUUUGCACUACUGCAUUUGGUUUACUGUUAAGCAGUGGUGCCUAUCAAACUGGUUUAACUUUCCCACCUGUUUUAGUACAUUUUGUUUGUUUAAACACGGGAUAUUUAGAGGUAUUAUUAUUUAAUAUUGUACUGUUAUUUAGAGGUAUUAUUAUUUAAUAUUGUACUGUUAUUUAUUUUUUCCCCAGCAGAAAAAAAAAGAAGUGUACUUGUUUUAUUUUAUCCCUGUUUUGAUUGGAUACAGAAUGAGUUAUUGUGGUGAUAGACCAGGUAUAUUAUUAUGUGUUAAUGAACAAAAGGCUGUUAAUUCAUGUUGUAAAAGGGUAUUAGUCUCGUUCUCUAGUGGUGUCGUCAGUCAGCUGAAACAUACAGAAUAAUGCAGAUGGAAAACAUUGGUUUCUAUACCGUAUGUAUAACGUGUAUGGCUCUGGCCUCUGUAUUCCACGUGGCAGAAAUGUAUGGUGUGUAACAGAUAUUCUGGUCUGUGUGCAUUCUGUAACGUUAGUCUCCUGAAUAGGCCCUCGCUGUUGUUUCCUUACAUUAGGAGAUCCUAGAAAGGCCCUGGCUCGAGAGAUGCUAGCAAACCUAAAGAAGACCUAAAGGUGGUCAUUGUCUGUAGCACGGCACGCUAGAGAGAUGCUAGCUAUUAGCUAACCUAAAGGUGGUCAUUGUCUGUAGCACGGCACGCUAGAGAGAUGCUAGCUAUUAGCUAACCUAAAGGUGGUCAUUGUCUGUAGCACGGCACGCUAGAGAGAUGCUAGCUAACCUAAACAAGUUCUAAAGGUGAACCUAGUAUCUUUUAGCAUGGCAGACUUUCUCAAGAUGUUAGCUAUUCGCUAACCCAGGUAUGGACAACUGGCGGUCGUGCGGCCCGCUGCCUCCCUUUCGGUAGACCUGAGGACCAGUUUCACCAACAAACAAAAAGGAACUCAGUUACUGUUGAGUUAAGAUAGUACCUUUACUUCCCUGUUUUCUUUAUUGUGAGUUUGUUUAAAUUAUGUUUUGUCGUUAAUGUGAGCUGUUGGGGGGGGGAGAGAGAGAUUGUUGUUCAACUUAACUCAUGAGUCUGCUGUACAUGUAUGUAGUCUAUUCUGUCACAGCCUGGUAAAGACACUAUAAUCUUCACAUCACCAGAGCUGGGUUAAAACACUUUGAAAUUUUUCAAAUACUUUUAAAGGGUUGCACUUGUAUGACUUUUUCUAUUGGUUCCGUUGCAACAGGCCCAGUCAAUUAAGCACAGUUUUAAAGUAUUUAAGCAUAGCUCACUGAGAGUUUUUUAAUAUUUUUCUGACUGUGAUUACAGAAUGUAUUUAUGAGGCUGAAAGAAGUCAGCCAGAAACUACUUUAGAAACUCAAUUAAUUGAAGUGACAACAACUUGAAAACAAGACUUUUAUGGGAAACGAUUUGGUUAAUUUGGUUCUCCUCUGUUUUAAAGUGCACAAUGAAAUUUACUAAUCAAGUUAUUGGUGAGGAAAAUGUCAACCCAAAUCAAUCCACAACAACCCAACCGCUGUUUUCAAAUAAAUGAACCAUACGUCCUCA
Oncorhynchus kisutch (coho salmon) is the source of this 4065-nucleotide RNA transcript. It is a transcript of the gene named homeodomain-interacting protein kinase 1-like, with no coding region annotated. Lineage: Eukaryota; Metazoa; Chordata; Actinopteri; Salmoniformes; Salmonidae. The record is from RefSeq and is a predicted model, not a curated record. The transcript has 10 exons.